This is a long non-coding RNA of Columba livia (rock pigeon), 357 nucleotides long. RefSeq lists it as uncharacterized. The record is from RefSeq and is a predicted model, not a curated record. The transcript is spliced from 3 exons. NCBI's taxonomy places the organism in Eukaryota, Metazoa, Chordata, Aves, Columbiformes, Columbidae.
UAUUCUCAGUACCUUGAGUUCACAGAACUGUUCUGUCCCUUAUUGCUGACAUCACCUGGAUACAGGCAUGGCAUCCUGCUGUUCCUUCUUCUCUAGAUCUGUCCUUUGCAGGAUGUCUUCAGACUCCAGCCUCUCAGCCCUCGUCAUUUGACAUGUCUUGAAGCAACUGGGAGAGAAAAAACCUGGGUUUAAACUUUCUGCCCUGAAAAGGAAAGGAGAUACUGCAUCGUUGUGUCACCAUGGUAACCAACAUCAGCCAGGCAGCAGGAUGAGGAUUGCUUGAUGGUAGAGCACUGGAAACAUGGCAGUCCUACCUUUUCUUUACAUGUUUUGAAGCAACAAUAAAUGACUGACAGG